GGCUCAGGACGAACGCUGGCGGCAUGCCUAACACAUGCAAGUCGAACGGGGGUAGCAAUACCCUAGUGGCGAACGGGUGAGUAACACAUAAGCAAUCUGCUCUUCACAGGGGGAUAACAGCGGGAAACUGCUGCUAAUACCGCAUAAGACCACGGUACCGCAUGGUACAGGGGUAAAAACGAAUCAGUGGUGAAAGGAUGAGCUUAUGUCCCAUUAGCUAGUUGGUGAGAUAACAGCCCACCAAGACGACGAUGGGUAGCCGACCUGAGAGGGUGAUCGGCCACACUGGAACUGAGACACGGUCCAGACUCCUACGGGAGGCAGCAGUGGGGAAUAUUGGGCAAUGGAAGGAAACUCUUACCCAGCAAUGCCGCGUGAGUGAAGAAGGUCUUCGGAUUGUAAAGCUCUUUGAUUGGGGACGAAGAAAGUGACGGUACCCAAAGAACAAGCCCCGGCUAACUACGUGCCAGCCGCCGC
Molecule: ribosomal RNA, 477 nt
Filed under: uncultured bacterium
Lineage: Bacteria
Description: bacterial SSU rRNA
Rfam family: Bacterial small subunit ribosomal RNA
Source: RNAcentral